This is an RNA transcript of Passer montanus (Eurasian tree sparrow), 3891 nucleotides long. RefSeq lists it as uncharacterized. Lineage: Eukaryota; Metazoa; Chordata; Aves; Passeriformes; Passeridae. The record is from RefSeq and is a predicted model, not a curated record. The transcript has 7 exons.
GGUGCCGUGGCAGGCAGGGAGCCGCCGGGACCGCCGCGGGAGGGAUGCCACGCUGCUGGUCCCGGCUUUUCCCUUUGGGAGCCACGCUGAGGUGUCUCCCAGCGUCCUGCCCCGGGCAGGGGGUGCCCCUUGCCCUGCCAGCUCUCCGCAGGGUCUGCCUUAAAUCCCUCCCUCCUCCCUCCCUCCCUGGCGAGGAACUUCUCCCGCUGAACUGGAGGAUGCUGCAAGCUCCUGCGGACGAGCCGGAGGAGUCCUGUGGCAAAGUCAAGGCGAGCAGGGAAGCAGCGUGCUCGUGCCGGGUGUCACCGCAGCUCGCUGCCGCCAGCCCGGCGUGCUGCGGCCGGUGUCACCUCCAGGACCCCAAGCUGGGGUUGUUGGGUGCCUGCGGACGCGUGGGUGCCACUAUGGCCGGCCCCGGCAGCCCCCCGGCUCCUUCGCCUCCCCCUGCAAAGCCGUCUGGUGCCCGCAAACCACCCUGCCCGGGCACGGAGCUGCUCUCGGGGCAGCUGGAGAACACCGGGGGCUGCCCCGGCCGGGGACUCACGGCCGGUCUGCGGGCAUGGAGAAUCCGUGGAAGAGGGGCUGCCCCAGGCCACAGCUCCCUGGUGGGUUUCGGCUCGGGGUCUACAGCUGCAAAAUGCAGCGCUGGGGCUGGGGAGGGCUCAGGGAUGCUUUCGGUGGUGGGGGGCACACCCAGGGCUGCAGAGGGGGUGGUGGUGAUGACAGGGCACAGAGAGGGCAGUGGGGAAGAGCCGGUCUGUGGAACAGGGCAGGGGCAAGGAGGGGUGGUGGGAACAGGCAGGGGGGGCUCAGGCUGGAGCAGGGGGACAGGAGGUAGCCCGGAUGCAGUGAGCAUCCCGUGGAGCUGGGUGCAGCCCUCCAAGGUCACUGGGAGAGCCCAGCCGAGGGCUGCGGGAACAGUGCCAUGGGCUGGGGCUGCGUGGGCCACUUGGGCUGGGGUGUCUCUAACAGCCAGCACUGGGAGGCUGCCCAAGGUCAGCCGAGGUGACUGGAGAUGAACUCGGCUGCGAUGUGAGAGCCCUGGCUUAGCAGUUUCAGGGUGAGUUCAACCCUGAGUUUUUGGUCCUGGCAGUCCCUGGGAGCCCAGCACUGCUGCAGCAAAUGCCCAGGGCAGCAUGGCACUGCCCUGCAGGGCCGGCAGAGCCCCAGGGGUGCAGUGGGUGCAUCUCUGCAGCCUGGGGCUCAGGACAGCCACUCUCUCUGAUUUGGGCUGGGACAGGGGAGCUGCUCCUGCCAGACACGCUGUGCCCCACUGCUCCUGCUGGGCUGGGACCUUGUCUUGGCUCCUGGGAGCCGUGUCUGGGAUCCUCAGGGCGGGAUCCCUGGGCACCAGCCAUGGGGGAGCUCUUGGGCUGCUGCCAGAGCAUCCUCUGUGUCAUGCUGUGCCCCACAGCACUGGUUGGUGUCUCGGGGGUGGCACUGAGCAGUGACUCUGCUUCCUGUGGCUGCUGUGAGCUGGGCUGGUGACGUGAGGCUGUACUUGGCACCCAGGGGCUCCUUGCAGGGAGCUGCGGUGUGUGUGGCCACGGCUCCCAGUGCUGAGUCACGGCCACGCCGUGUCCAGCCAGCCCCUCCUGCCCACAGCCAGACCCCCACGCACCCCUCACUCCCCUGUCCUGAGAGGGGGCAGCCCUGGGAACCCAGGAACACUCCCUGUACCUGCCAUUGUCCCAUUCCAACUGCAGGUUUGGGGCUGGGAAGGUCACUGAAGUCAGGGUGUGUCCCCUCUGUCACCCUGCUGUCACCAAACUGUGCUGGGCAGGGGAAGUCCCCACAGCCCUCUUACACUGUCAAGCUCUCAGCUGAAUCCCUCCUGCCACGGGCAAAGGCACCUCCAGCCUUCCCAGUGCAGAGCUGCUGGGUGGGGAGGGGGUGAGAGGGGCCCAGAGUCCUGUGUCCUCCUCCUGGCCCCACAAACGAGACGGGCAGGGGUGUGGGGGUGUAGGAGGUGGGUGCCCCCCUACACUGGCUUCAUGUGCACCAGCCUGAACCACUGCUCUGGCACAUGGACAGAUAUGGGGAUGUGGAGUCUGGGGGUGGUGGGAAAUGCAGGGGGCAGGGGAAUGAUUUGGUGCAUCCUGACCCAGCACAACAGCAGCAGCAGCAGCAGCAGGGGGAACCCCUGCCAAGCGAAGAGCCAGAGCCAAGGAGGAUUCCCCUUUGGAAGUGGUUCCAAGCACAAGCCCCCACCCUUGCCACCCAUCCGUGCUGGAGUGUGGGCUCACAGGACACGGCCCUUGGCUGUGCCCCCUUCUCCUCGCAGGUGCAGCUCCACAGGUGCCCCCUCAGACCAAACCACUGAGCCUGGAGUAUCCCAUCAGCCUCAAAGAGCAGCCAAACCCCCCCAAAACCGCAGCCUCAACACUCUCCAGACACCCAGGGGCUCCGGGUCCGAGGCACACAUGGGUUGGCCAUGGCUCCAAACAUGAAGAGCUGCAAGGUGACUGUGGGCACAGGGGCCAUCUGGGCAGUGCCUCUGCCUGGGCUGCACUGGAGAGAGGCCCUGAGGGAGGGCAGGAGGGGCUCCCCACAGCCCCUGCCCAGUCUCGGGUUUCCCCAAGGCCACUGGCUCCUUGCAGGAUCUCACUGGGGCUGGAGGACACGGCCGGCAGGGUGACAGCCCCGUGCCCUGCGCCCCCAGCCCCGCGGCACCCGCCUCUCCCUCCCAUCCCUACAUACUUCUUCAUAUGCCCAUAUGGAGCCGGCCGGUGCUAUGGAAUGUUAAGAAGUAUGUAUUUUUGGGCUGGGACCCCCACAGCAGGAGCCCCCAUCACCAGCAGCGGCCAGACGGCACCUCCGGAGAGACGAUGCGUCCCCUGGGGCUGGUAAAAAGGAACCAGAUCAACUUGCAACUGGAUUUGGUCCCCUUCAACCAGCUGCAGCGGCGCAUGAGCUACGGCACCCGCUGGCCCGGACCGCUGCCGCCGUGCUGCCCCGAGCUGGGAAGGGCUGAGGAGCAGCUGAGGGGGGACAGACGGGGGGUGAGGAGAGGGGCUUUGGCUGGUUUUGAGACUGCCCAGUGGGCAGGAGACAGGCAGAGCGCUUCAGCUCUGCUCUCCACAGUUUCAUGGAUCCCAAACCUGCUGGGGAAAUGCCCCGUGAAGCCACAGGAGCCCUGGCCCAGGCCUGAGCAGCCCCAGCCCGGCGCGGCCUUCCCCCUCAGCUGCCGAGGCCUUCGGGCCGAAAGGGCUCCCUGAGGGGACAGCCCCGGGUGGGACCGCGGGGACGGGAGAGCCCAGCACCGCCCUAGCAGAGGCAGCCACAUCAAGAGUUAACCAGAAAGCGAAACUGAGCGAGCGGCUUCCGAAAAUUCUGCAAUAUUUAAUGAUCCACCCCUCCCUGACGGGAUAUAUCCGGCGUCGCCCUUCCUUCCUCCGAGCACAGCCGACACAACAGAGGCUGGUGGCGAGGGGUGCCGCGGUCCCACGGGGCCGGGAUUAGAGCAGACUCAUCGCAGCUCUCGCUCCCGCACAGCCCACCAUGCUUCCAGUUCCAGUCAUCCUUGGAAUUAUAAAGGCCGUUGGAUUAAUUGCAGUCAUCACAGGAAUUACAGUUAUAGCACUAUGCAAAGACAAGAUAAGAAUCAAAAUACAGACUAGAUGGUUUUCCUUCUCUUUAGAAGCUGGGGGGGAAAAAAUGGCAUAACUCUUUCCUCCGAGCAGCACCCAAUAGCAUGCAGUCCACAGAAACAACUUCCUGUGUUCCACUCAAGGGAGGAAAAGCAAGAUUCCUUUCUUCCAAGCAUGCUGAUUCGUCCUCAGACAGCAGGUGCUGGAAGGAGAAAUCCUUCCCACAACUUCCACUGUAACUGGAUUAGAUUAAUUUUACUCAUAAAAUCAUGUUAAACAAUAAAUGAACUGUGCCAGUGUA